Molecule: ribosomal RNA, 497 nt
Filed under: uncultured bacterium
Lineage: Bacteria
Description: partial 16S ribosomal RNA
Rfam family: Bacterial small subunit ribosomal RNA
Source: RNAcentral
GAUGGACGCUGGCGGCGUGCCUAAUACAUGCAAGUCGAGCGAACAGACGAGGAGCUUGCUCCUCUGACGUUAGCGGCGGACGGGUGAGUAACACGUGGAUAACCUACCUAUAAGACUGGGAUAACUUCGGGAAACCGGAGCUAAUACCGGAUAAUAUAUUGAACCGCAUGGUUCAAUAGUGAAAGACGGUUUUGCUGUCACUUAUAGAUGGAUCCGCGCCGCAUUAGCUAGUUGGUAAGGUAACGGCUUACCAAGGCGACGAUACGUAGCCGACCUGAGAGGGUGAUCGGCCACACUGGAACUGAGACACGGUCCAGACUCCUACGGGAGGCAGCAGUAGGGAAUCUUCCGCAGUGGGCGAAAGCCUGACGGAGCAACGCCGCGUGAGUGAUGAAGGUCUUCGGAUCGUAAAACUCUGUUAUUAGGGAAGAACAAAUGUGUAAGUAACUAUGCACGUCUUGACGGUACCUAAUCAGAAAGCCACGGCUAACUACGUG